This is a long non-coding RNA of Lathyrus oleraceus (garden pea), 819 nucleotides long. RefSeq lists it as uncharacterized. The transcript has 2 exons. Lineage: Eukaryota; Viridiplantae; Streptophyta; Magnoliopsida; Fabales; Fabaceae. The record is from RefSeq and is a predicted model, not a curated record.
CUCACAAGGGGGUGUAUGCUAAUUGGCCAAGGGAGUAUGAAGUACCAGAAUUCAUUUGGGCCUUGAAUUGAGGCCCAAGGUGAAAAAUAAGGAGGAUCAUAAUGUUCCCUUCCUUCGUCUUCUACAUUGCUCAGCAGCGACCAAGGGAGAAAGAAAAAUAAAUAAGUCGCGAAGGACCUAGCCGCGCCGACUUCAUCACCGGUAGCGGCGCUUCCACAUGGGGAAGCUUCUCGCGCCAUCUCCCCUUUCUUCCUCCUAAUUGAAACCAAAAUACAACCUCCACCUAAACAAAUCGAAAACUACCAUGAUUCCUGGACGGAACAAAAUCCAGCGGCGAACAAAAACGGAAAGGGAUUCGAUUACAAGCGUUACACCACUGUACAUGAAUCAAUCAAUGCAAAGAGAAGAGAGAGCCUACCCACGAUGGAGAAGGCGGCGGAUUCGUCGGCGACGUCGAAUUCGAACUCAGGUGAGAACAAGGUCAUGUAAAUGGUGAUGAGUUCUGUUAUGCAGGAAUUUGCAGAAUUGUGAUUUUGCCAAGAGGAAGAAGCAGUUGAAUUGUUCUGCAGAAUUGAUUUAGUCGAAGGGGAAGAAGAUGGUGGUGAGAAGUUUGUUAGCAGAUGAUAGUUCUGGAAUCAUGAAGAAGAGAGCUUCAAGGCUAACUCAUUAUCUUAUAUAGUUUGACCUUGAUGGAUGUUAAUACUCAUGCUGAAUUUUUAUUACGACAAAAAAAAAUGGUGAAUGGGUCAAUUUUCAAAUGAAUAAAGCUGACCCAAUUUGAUAUGAAAUGAAAUGAACUUCUAAAACUUCUAAAGUCAA